Molecule: long non-coding RNA, 240 nt
Filed under: Chinchilla lanigera (long-tailed chinchilla)
Lineage: Eukaryota; Metazoa; Chordata; Mammalia; Rodentia; Chinchillidae
Description: lncRNA (ENSCLAG00000023656.1)
Source: RNAcentral
AGAUGGACAUGUGACCAAACCUGACCAAUGAGACACAGAGCUGUCUGUGGCUACUCUGCCAGGAGACAGGCGAAAGAGAUGCUAAAGCCGGGCAGCUACACCUUGGUCUCUGGGACGCCCUGGCCACCAGCUCCUGCAGUGGCACCCAGGAUAGGCACGGUGUUGGGUAGGGACGGGGUGGCCUGGACACAUCAGAAUCAAAAGCGCCCAGGAUGGGUUUCAGCCUCAAUGACCUCCUGA